This 395-nucleotide long non-coding RNA is filed under the name Ananas comosus (pineapple). RNAcentral describes it as "long non-coding RNA (ACOM_LNC042877)". Lineage: Eukaryota; Viridiplantae; Streptophyta; Magnoliopsida; Poales; Bromeliaceae. The record is from RNAcentral.
CCUAAAAAAUAAUGAUAAAAGACUUGAAUUUAAGAUCAGAGGUACUGAUCUUACUCUAAAUAGUGAAAAGAAUUUUUUAUAAAAAUUUCAUCAGAUUUGGAUUGUUUUACACCGUUAAAUUCGCAAACGCAUCACAUCUACCAUUAAAAUUAUUAAUUUUGAGACCUUUUGAUCACUAACCAAAGGAUGACGAAAAAUUAUGAAAUUUAGUUUCUAACUACUUUUAAUAGUGUAGAUCAAGUCUAACGGAGCCGGUUGUCGAUUUGGAAGAUGCAACAUUGAGCUAAUUUUUUAUACAUGAUAAUCGUUGUUGUUGAGUCUUGGGCGGACAGGGGAGGCUUUGUCCGUUCAGCGUCCAUGGAUGUGCCCGAACCAACCAAAUUGGCGGUCGCGAG